Molecule: ribosomal RNA, 497 nt
Filed under: uncultured bacterium
Lineage: Bacteria
Description: partial 16S ribosomal RNA
Rfam family: Bacterial small subunit ribosomal RNA
Source: RNAcentral
GAUGAACGCUGGCGGCGUGCCUAAUACAUGCAAGUCGAGCGAACAGAUGAGGAGCUUGCUCCUCUGACGUUAGCGGCGGACGGGUGAGUAACACGUGGAUAACCUACCUAUAAGACUGGGAUAACUUCGGGAAACCGGAGCUAAUACCGGAGAAUAUAUUGAACCGCAUGGGUCAAUAGUGAAAGACGGUUUUGCUGUCACUUAUAGAUGGAUCCGCGCCGCAUUAGCGAGUUGGUAAGGUAACGGCCUACCAAGGCAACGAUGCGUAGCCGACCUGAGAGGGUGGUCGCCCACCCUGGAGCUGAGACACGGUCCAGACUCCUACGGGAGGCAGCAGUAGGGAAUCUUCCGCAAUGGGCGAAAGCCUGACGGAGCAACGCCGCGUGAGUGAUGACGGUCUUCGGAUCGUAAAACUCUGUUAUUAGGGAAGAACAAAUGUGUAAGUAACUAUGCACGUCUUGACGGUACCUAAUCAGAAAGCCACGGCUAACUACGUG